This 687-nucleotide long non-coding RNA is filed under the name Monodelphis domestica (gray short-tailed opossum). Its description in RNAcentral is "lncRNA (ENSMODG00000046620.1)". Lineage: Eukaryota; Metazoa; Chordata; Mammalia; Didelphimorphia; Didelphidae. The record is from RNAcentral.
AGAAUUAUAAGAUUUUGAGCUUAGGAUCCUUAAGAUCAUCUAGGUUCUGAGUCUGGAGUCCAUGGACUUCCAUGUCUGUGAAGAUGAAUGGGAAAAAAAUUACAUCUUUAUUUUCAUGAGGCUAUAAUUGAAAUCUAGCAUUUUCUUGAAUUAUUUAAAUAUAUUAUCCUGAGAAGGGGUUUAUUCUCCAGAUUGUUAAAGGGUCCCAAGAUCCAAAAAAAAAGUUAAGAUUCUCUUGGUCUAAUCCAACUUCUUCAUUUUAUGGGUAAAGAAUUUGAGGACAAAAGUGAAGAAGUGAUUUAUUGUUAAAGGGUCCCAAGAUCCAAAAAAAAAAUUAAGAUCCCCUUGAUCUAAUCCAACUUCUUCAUUUUAUGGAAUAAGAAUUUGAGGACAAAAGUGUAGAAAUGAUUUGUUCAAGUCAUUCAGCUAAUAAGUCAAAGUGGAAUGGGGGCAAGGUAUGAAGAGAGAGUUUGGAGAGCAUGCUACCUGUCAUCCCAGAGGGAAGGAGCAUGAAUAGGGGAUAAGAAGACAACAGAGACCCUCUAGCCUUCUUAGAGUCUGGGACAAACUGGGAAUUCAGAUGGCCAACCUGGAUACUUCAAGAUGAGAGAACUGAGACUUAGAGUGAUUAGAAUUAAGAACAGAACUAAAAGAUAUAGAGAGCAGCUAGAUGGCUCAGCAGAUUGA